UUUUUUUUUUUUUAAGAUUUAUUUAUUUUAGAGAGACAGCACAAGUGUGUAAGCAGGAGAGAGAGAGAGGGAGAUAAUCUCCAACAGACUCCAGGCUAAGUGCAGAGUCUGACGUGGGGCUUGAUCUCAUGACACUGAGAUCAGGACCCUGAGCUCAUGACCUGAGCCAACAAAACCAAGAGUCAGAUGCUUAACAGACUGCGCCCACCCCCACCCCCAGGCGCCCCAAAGGGGCAACUCUUAAUCUGGUUUCAACCACAGGCAAGAAUAAAAACUCCUUCCAAAAAACGACAAUGAGCUCAACGCCUGAUGCUCAUUGUAGUUCUUUCUGGGGAUUUGUUUCCUUUUCAGACAAUUUCAUGUGUAUUUUAGAGGAAAUAAAGAAGACAUUGUUCACAGCACUUCCAGUCACUUUACUACAUUCUUAGGAGUCGGGGGUUCAAUCUCAAAUGAAACUUCUCACUAACAUUUUGUUCAGUUAUUUACGCCCUCUAAACAAUGAGCAUCUUUAGGCAAAGACUUCCUAGCCCAUCCAACUAAACAAAAGAGCCUCCCCUACAGCACACAGACUCUCAUUUCCAUUCCGAAAGCCCCGCAGGCAUAUCUGUGAAGCUUGCCUUCAUAACACUCAUUUAAUUUUAAAUUAAAUUAAGGGCGCAAAAGGUAAACACAUUGUUUAGUUUAUUCCAAGUAAUGUCCUAAACUUACGAUUUCAAUAGUUCUCCGACCAACUGAUGACUCCUACUACAAUAAAGAAUUCAUGAACCAUGGAGCCAACUGACAAAAAUUAAAUAAAUAAAUAUCACUCACAGUUUAGAAGAAAAAGCAUUUGCAUAGUCCAGUUCCUAACUUGCAAAUGGUAUAAAUAUCUGGGGGAAAUUCCCAUCAAGAUUUUUAGCAUGUCUAGAACCUAUGAGGAAAAAACUGGGUUUUCUUCCCCCCAUAAAAGCACACCAAGUUAGGAAGACCCCAGAUUUCUGAGUCAUCCGUUGACACACGUAACAAAUAUUCAUGUAGGCAAAGCUAGCGGAAACAAUACGGUGAAAUGGAAAUGAAAUACUGAUCUGUUUUUCUUCAGCAUAGUUCUAAGCUUUCCCAUGGGGGGAGGGAGAAGCAUUAUUUGAUAGGUUCCUUUAUGCAACAUAUAUUUAUUGAUCUGAUGGCCCCAGUUUUUGUGAGGUUUUCUAACAAUGUCCAGCUGCCUGAUAAGGGGAAGGAGGUGGGGGGGGGGGCGGGUAGGGGCGAUAAUAGGGAAGAACCUUGGCUGGAAAUUACCGAAGAACACAGUAAGGAAAGCUACAGAAAAUCGACAUUACUAAGCCAUCUUAUUAUUUCUGAGCUGGGCACACAGGCAGGAUCCUCUCCCCCCACCACCCCCCCAGAAAACAAGAAGAGAACAAGGGAUGGCAUCAAGGAGGAGAGAAAACAGCAGGCUCACGAGAAAAGAGGGGAUGGGCAGGAAGAAGUUAGGACUUCAAAAAAGGAGACUAAUAGAGUUUGAAAUAUUGAAAGUGGAGCAGAUCUAUUAGGUGUGGCAUGUGUGUGCACAGCUGAAGUGGAAUGAAGAUGAAGGUCAUCUUAGUUGAGGGAGGAGAACUGUGAGAUCUGGUAUUAGCAAAGUCAUCAAAGGGAUGCUAUCCUUCAGGGGGGCCCUGUGUAGAAUGGCAGAGGAAAAUGUGAGACUCUCUUGAAGCAACCGAGACUCCUGAAUUGGUACCGUGGAGGCAAGUUGGGGCUGGGAUAGUGGAGAGGUACUUAAAGUUUGGUUGGCAUUUACACACGCUUGGUAAAGUAUCAAUUUCCAUUUCUAAGAAUGGGGGGAGAUUAUAGAGUUGAUAAGGGAGCACCCUUCAAGCCAUCCUUGGCCUGGAGCCCCCACUGAUUCGAAGGCAGAUUACAGUGGUGUCUGAUUUGUGCAAAUUUCAUGAAUUUAAGGUCACACUGAAAUAACGGGAGUAAUCUGAGUGUGAAAAAAGUCAAGAAAUAUAUUUGAUCCCUAUUUCUCUACUCAGGAAUAGAGAGAAUUUUUUGAUAAGUGAUGUUCCUUGGCCACUCUCGGAUUUUCCCUGGGUUCCCUAAGACCAUCACUCGAGCUCACAGAACACUGGCUGAUGAUAUCUCCACAAUUGUCUACACGAGCACUGCUAGGGAAGGCACACUUCUCCCUUCUGGGUUCUUUUGUCUGGCUUAAUGAUGAAGUUGACAUAAAACUGAUUUACAGGAGGAAAUUUUAAUUUCAUUGCUAAGGGAAACCCAAAGACAUGAGGGUUCUUCCCAAGCAAUUGACGCUUCUGUGCCAUCUUGAGCUAAGGACAAGGGGGCAGAGGAUGGGUCUGGGCUUCAAGGAGGAGGAAGACAAUUCAUAGGAAGAUUCGAAGAGCAAUGUUUGGUAAACAAGAGCUCCUCACUGGAGCAGAGACAAUGGAACACAAGAGGACUUCGCACAAACAAGCCCUGCAGCACCCCCCAGCUCCCCAUACCUGGCUCUCUUCCUGCACCAGGCCCUGGGUGAAAUUCUGAGAGGUAAUUCAAAGUGAGGCAAGAAGCUCCUUCUGGGUUCUCUAGGUCCCCAACUGUCCAAUAGCCACACAUCAAAGUGGUGUACUCCAGGGUGGCCUGCCCAGAACCCCAUCACUUCUUCGCUUCUCAUCAUGCACACAGAGCACUCACCUCACCAGUCCCGGACCAGCACACAUGUCAGAUUGCUUACUGGUCCUUCCCUCUGGAUGCCCCACUAGUGCUUCUAAAUCAACACAGCUAAAACUCAGUUUAUAAUGUCCGUGCUUCCAUUCACUUAAGCAAGCCAGAAAGUCAUCUUCAAAAAUUGCCUUUCUUCCCCUUAUCUUCCCCCUCCAUUCUCUUCCCUCCAACACCAACUGGUAACCAAAUCCAAAGAAUUUCAACUCUUGAAAAUCCAUUGGCUCUUUCCCAUCUUCUUCUUCUUCUUUUUUUUUUUUUUUAAGAUUUUAUUUAUUUAUGAGAGACACAGAGAGAAAGAGAGGCAAAGACACAGGCAGAGGAAGAAGCAGGCUCCUCGCAGGGAGCCUGAUGUGGGACUUGAUCCCCGGUCUGGAUCUCCAGGGUCAUGCCCUGGACUGAAGGCGGUGCUAAAUUGCUGAGCCACCUGGGCUGCCCAUCUCUUUCCCAAUCUUACUGCCACAGACUUAGAUCAUGGUUUCUCACCUGAUCUUCCAAAUGGCCUUCUAACUAGCUUCCCACUCCUCUGAAACAUCCCCCAUGCUAUCACCAGGGCAGUCUCUGUAAGUAACAAUCUGAUCAGCUCACUUUAUGAGUCAAAACCUUCAGUGGUGAAAGGGAAUAUAGAGAAACGAGAGAAAAUGAGUGAAAAUAUCAGUGAGGGUGACAAAACAUGAGAGUCCCCUAAUCUGGGAAAUGAAUAAGGGGUAGUGGAAGGGGAGGUGGGCAGGGGGCUGGGGUGACUGGGUGAUGGGCACUGAGGGGGGCACUUGGCGGGAUGAGCACUGGGUGAUAUUCUAUAUGCUGUUAAAUUGAACUCCAAUAAAAUUUUUUUAAUAAAAUCUAAUUUAUCUGGUAUGAAUAAAAAAAAAAA
RNAcentral lists this long non-coding RNA (3571 nucleotides) under Canis lupus familiaris (dog). RNAcentral describes it as "lncRNA (ENSCAFG00845004437.1)". The record is from RNAcentral. Lineage: Eukaryota; Metazoa; Chordata; Mammalia; Carnivora; Canidae.